UGAUGACCCAGAGCAGUUUCCCCUCUGGUUGGAGUCUCUAUAUUCUGGGACACAGAGGUGCCUUCUCUGGGGUUGAGGUGUCCCUUGGACGAUGAGGGCGAGGCUGAGUGUGUUCCCAGCAGAGAUGCAGAUAAUUAAAUAUGGAGCCCCAGGAUUUCGCCGCUUAGAAACGAGCUUGAAUACGGCCUGCCCCAUCUCGACAAAGAUCUGUUCGAAUUGGAAAAAGAACAGAGAAGGGCAACGACCGUGAUUAGGGGCACGGAACCGCUCCUGUGCCAGGGGAGAUUAAAAGAACCGGAAACCGUCAGCUUAGAAGCGAGACCAUGGAGGGGGCAUAUGAUAGAAAUCUCUCAAAUCAUGAGUCGUGUGCAGAAAAUGAAUGGGGGGGGGUUAUUUACCCGCUUUUGCAUCUCACAAGAGCCAGGGGUCACCCGAGGAAUCUGCAGGGCUACGAGGGAAGGGAGAUGCUGAGAACUGCAUGCACAGGGCGCGACCCACGUCUCACUUCUCCCUCCACCCCAGCAGCUGAGACGGGAGGAUGAGUAAGAAUGAGGAGGUGACGUCUCAGCGGCAGAAAGCGGAGCCGGAAGAACCACACGGGAGAUUAGCAGGAAGAUAUAAAGGGAAGGUUUCCCAGAAUCAUGAGCAGGGGAAAGCCUACGAGAGGCAGUCAGGGAAGAAAGAAGGCUGUCACUCCAGAUUGUCCCAUCGUUCACGGGGACAGGGAAGGGAAAAGGCUGCAGAGGAGCCGAUUCAGGUAGCGACUUCCCAGUGGCUCCGACUGGAGGGA
Terrapene triunguis (Three-toed box turtle) is the source of this 790-nucleotide long non-coding RNA. RefSeq lists it as uncharacterized. The record is from RefSeq and is a predicted model, not a curated record. The transcript has 3 exons. NCBI's taxonomy places the organism in Eukaryota, Metazoa, Chordata, Testudines, Emydidae.